AGCAUGGCCGUCCUGGUGCUGCUCCUCUGCCUGCUGACCUUUCCAAGCUGUGCCCUGACCCAGGUGCAGCUGAAGGAGUCAGGACCUGACCUGGUGCAGCCCUCACAGACGCUGUCUCUCACCUGCACUGUCUCUGGCUUCUCAUUAACCAGCUAUGGUGUACACUGGGUCCGACAACCUCCAGGAAAGGGUCUGGAGUGGAUGGGAGAAAUAUGGAGUGGUGGGAGCAUAUAUUAUAAUUCAGCUCUCAAAUCCCGGCUCAGCAUCAGCAGAGACACCUCCAAGAGUCAGGUGUUCUUAAAACUGAACAGUCUGACGACUGAGGACACAGCCACUUACUACUGUGCUAGAAACACAGUGAGUGAACUCCACAUUUUAAGACAGAUAAUUGUCCCUGGGGAUACCUAUAAAUCUACUCGUCCUCGAGUAGAUGACAAGUAG
Molecule: non-coding RNA, 441 nt
Organism: Acomys russatus (golden spiny mouse)
Lineage: Eukaryota; Metazoa; Chordata; Mammalia; Rodentia; Muridae
Source: the annotation of a RefSeq genome assembly